GUGGAGAAUCUUGCACAAUGGGGGAAACCCUGAUGCAGCAACGCCGCGUGAAGGAUGAAGGCCUUCGGGUUGUAAACUUCUUUUGGAGGGGACGAAUAAAUUGACGGUACCCUCAGAAAAAGCCACGGCUAACUACGUGCCAGCAGCCGCGGUAAUACGUAGGUGGCGAGCGUUACUCGGAAUUACUAGGCGUAAAGCGUAUGUAGGCGGUUGUAUAAGUCUAUGGUGAAAUUUCCUGGCUCAACUGGGAAGGGACAUAGAUACUGUAUGGCUUGAGUGUUGGAGGGGGAGACGGAAUUCCUGGUGUAGCGGUGAAAUGCGUAGAUAUCAGGAGGAACACCGAUGGCGAAAGCAGUCUCCUGGCCAAAUACUGACGCUGAGGUACGAAAGCUAGGGUAGCAAACAGGAUUAGAAACCCGGGUAGUCC
Molecule: ribosomal RNA, 427 nt
Filed under: uncultured bacterium
Lineage: Bacteria
Description: partial 16S ribosomal RNA
Rfam family: Bacterial small subunit ribosomal RNA
Source: RNAcentral